This 613-nucleotide ribosomal RNA is filed under the name Rhodotorula mucilaginosa. RNAcentral describes it as "eukaryotic LSU rRNA". It matches the Rfam family "Eukaryotic large subunit ribosomal RNA", at positions 38 to 667 of the family's 3401-position model. RNAcentral also lists the same sequence under 2 other names. The record is from RNAcentral. Lineage: Eukaryota; Fungi; Basidiomycota; Microbotryomycetes; Sporidiobolales; Sporidiobolaceae.
GCAUAUCAAUAAGCGGAGGAAAAGAAACUAACAAGGAUUCCCCUAGUAGCGGCGAGCGAAGCGGGAAGAGCUCAAAUUUAUAAUCUGGCACCUUCGGUGUCCGAGUUGUAAUCUCUAGAAAUGUUUUCCGCGUUGGACCGCACACAAGUCUGUUGGAAUACAGCGGCAUAGUGGUGAGACCCCCGUAUAUGGUGCGGACGCCCAGCGCUUUGUGAUACAUUUUCGAAGAGUCGAGUUGUUUGGGAAUGCAGCUCAAAUUGGGUGGUAAAUUCCAUCUAAAGCUAAAUAUUGGCGAGAGACCGAUAGCGAACAAGUACCGUGAGGGAAAGAUGAAAAGCACUUUGGAAAGAGAGUUAACAGUACGUGAAAUUGUUGGAAGGGAAACGCUUGAAGUCAGACUUGCUUGCCGAGCAAUCGGUUUGCAGGCCAGCAUCAGUUUUCCGGGAUGGAUAAUGGUAAAGAGAAGGUAGCAGUUUCGGCUGUGUUAUAGCUCUCUACUGGAUACAUCCUGGGGGACUGAGGAACGCAGUGUGCCUUUGGCGGGGGUUUCGACCUCUUCACACUUAGGAUGCUGGUGGAAUGGCUUUAAACGACCCGUCUUGAAACACGGACC